CCUACGGGGGGCAGCAGUGGGGGAUAUUGCACAAUGGGGGAAACCCUGAUGCAGCGACGCCGCGUGUGGGAAGACGUUCCUCUGGAUUGUAAACCACUGUCCCCAGGGACGAAGAUGACGGUACCUGUGGAGGAAGCUCCGGGUAACUACGUGCCAGCAGCAGCGGUAAUACGUAGGGAGCGAGCGUUGUCCGGAAUUACGGGGUGUAAAGGGAGCGUAGGCGGGGAUGUGAGUUGGGUGUAAAAACUACCGGCUCAACCGGUCGUCGCAUUCAAAACUGCAGCUCUUGAGUGAAGUAGAGGCAGGCGGAAUUCCUAGUGUAGCGGUGAAAUGCGUAGAUAUUAGGAGGAACACCAGUGGCGAAGGCGGCCUGCUGGGCUUUUACUGACGCUGAGGCUCGAAAGUGUGGGGAGCAAACAGGAUUAGAUACCCUUGUAGUC
Molecule: ribosomal RNA, 440 nt
Filed under: uncultured bacterium
Lineage: Bacteria
Description: partial 16S ribosomal RNA
Rfam family: Bacterial small subunit ribosomal RNA
Source: RNAcentral